CAGCGAGACUCCAUCUCAAAAAAUAAAAUAAAAUAAAACUAAAAAUAAUAUGGAAAAGUAGGUCCAUUCUGUCUUCCCAGAAGUGUAAGCCCUGUGCUGUUGUUAUUUUUACAUGUCCUAAUUUCCUACUAGGCUCUUGAGUAAAUGUAGACUCAGAGAGGUUAAAUAAUUUGUUCAAUAUUAUACUGCCAGUGAUUCAGCAAGAACUGGAUACAAGGCAUUUGUCAAAAGCUCACCCUCUUUUUCAUGACCCUAUACUGCUAAAUAAAUGUUUACUGGAAGAAUGAACCAAUGAAAGCAAGUUCCCUUCCUUAGUCACAAUAGUUCUGUGAUUUUUGUUUUAAAACUCAGGAUAUAGUGAUGUAUUUCUCGUUUUUUAUCAUGAUCAAAAAUGCUUGAAGUCUAAGAGCUUAGAAACCACUAGUCAUUGCCAUUUAGGAAAUUUCCUAGAAUCCAACUGUGUGGUUUCUGCCAAUAAUUUAGGUUUUAUGAACACUGGUUGUACAGUAUCGGGCUCUGCUCACCUCUCAACCUGUAGACUGAGACUCACGUGAAGUUAUCAGGAGAACUAAAUAAAGAAAACUGCAGGGGACUGUAAGUGAAAAUAUGAGAGACAAACUAAUCCUCAACACUCUUUAAUAUAGGGCUUUCCAGAUGAAAGCAGUAACAAAUGCUGUAAGUGUGCAAGUUCCUGCGAUGGUUGAUCUUACGUGUCAAUCUGGCCAGGCUAUGGUGCCUAGUUGUGUAGUCAAACAGUAGUCUAGAUGUUGCUGUGAAGACUCUUUAAAAUGUGAUUAACAUUUAUAAUCACUGGACUUUUAGUAAAGCUCAUAAAUGUCCAUGGUGUGGUGAGCCUCAUCUAAUCAGUUGAAGGCCAUAAGAGCAAAAUCUGAUUCCUCAAAGAAGAAGGAAUUUUGCCUGAAUUUGCAGCCUGCAGGCCUACCCUGUGGAUUUAGGACAUGCCAGUCUCCACAGUACUGUGGUGUGUGUGUUGCCAUAUAUGUAUCUGUGUGUGUGUGUGUGUGUGCACAUCUGUAUGGAGAACCCUAAUACAGCACCUUACACAGCACACAGUACCUGGUCUGUAAGAACAAGACAAUAAAUUUUAGCUGAAUCUGCAUCAGCUUUCUGUUUAUACUGCUUUAGAAGUAUCCACUCAUUAUUUGAAGAAGUGUGUGUUAGAUGCUUGCCUUAGGCAGAACAUUAUAUGUUCUCCAAAGGUAUAAAAUUGUUUUCUUUCCUUAAGUAGUUUCCAACUUUUUGUUUCCAAGGCAACAAAAAACAUUGUCUCAUUCAGUUUUCUGUUGCUAUAAUGGAAUACCAGAGACUGGGUAAUUUACAAAGAAUAGAAGUUUACUGGCUCCAGGUUCUAGAGGCUGGGAACACCAAGGGCAUGGCAGCAGCAUCUGGUGGGGUUCUGUGCUACAUUACCCCAUGGUGGAAGGGCAGAGGGCAGAGGGCAGAAGAGGAAAGGCAGAAGAGAAAGACAGCAUGGGAGACAGCAAGAAAAUGGAGGCCAAAACUUAUCCUUUUAUCAGGAAUCCACUCCCACACAUGUUUGUAAACAAUGCCAUCAGGAAUAAAAGUGUUUGAAGCUGAAGCUGGGUCUUCCAUCCAAAUGUGGAAAGCGUGCCAGAGGACUGUCUUUCCCAUUCCCGCCCCACCUGCACAGCCAUAGACAAAGCUCAGCUCCGGGAUAAGGUAAAUGUCAAGAGCCACACAGCAGCAUGCCUUCCCUUCAAGACAGAACAAAGGGUGGUUUUCUUGGCCAACCUACUGCACAGGAGGAAGCCAAGCAACACCAUUGAUUUAAGCCCCAAGGAAAACCUAAAAUCUUUGGCCACUUCAGGUUGUAAAUCUGGCAUCAGAUGUCAGAAACUUGUGUGAAAACAGAGACUACUAGGUUUUACUAUGGCUUGAAAGGAAUAACCCAAAGAAAAGCCUGACCCCAAAAAAGGACUGUCCCAGGCUCAGGGCCCCACAGCGACCACAUGCCUGGGCAGGGAACUGCCGGGAAGGUAGCCCAGAAUGGUCACAUCUCACUCUGCAGCCCCCUCACCGGACAAGGACACCUCCUGUCAGGUUCCGAGUUCUAGUCAUUCUUCCUUGUCUCUGAGAGCUGUCCAUCUUUUCAUACCAUUUCUAUUGCCACCCGUGGUUCAGCCUGAGGUGCCUCGGAGGACUCACUGGCCAGGCCCCAUGGGCACUCUACACACAUGAUUGAGCAAGACCUCUAAAUGAGACCACAAAGCAGGCCCAUUUCCUUCAGGUGACUGACAUGGGAACUCAGGCUGAGAGCAACUGACCAAGCAGACACAGCUAAAAAGAUGGAGCCAGGAUUCCAGCCAGGAUCUGCCUGACUUUAAGUAAUAUGUGUUUCCCACUAAACCCAUGUCAUGGCUUUCCCCAGCUCUCGAAGCUUUGAUGGCCCCACUGCCUACUGAAUUCAGUCUUAGCUGCCAAUCCAGGGGCCAAGCCCUCCGUGCCCUGCCCUGCCCUACUCUUCAGCCUUGCCCAGCUUUUCCCCUCCAUGAACAUCCUCAAGUCCCCCCCACACUCAAGACUCCCCAGGAGUGUCCCUUUGCUCAUCUGCAAUGUCCUUACUACCAGCCCAUCUGCCCUUUCCAAGUCCUGCUCACUCAUCAAUACUUCUGUGACCCCCUGCCGUGAGAACACAUUCUCUGCUAAACCCCUGCUCUUCCAGCGCACUUUCCUCAGAGUUAUGUACAGAGAGGGUCUCCCCCUGCUAGACUGAGCCACCUCGGAGGAAGAGCCUGUGCCUGGAUUUUCACAUCUUUGUAUGUCCUUCCAUCCUUAGCAAAGGCACCUGGAAUGUAAUCAAAAUCACCAAAUAUGUGUUGGAUAGAUGAAUAGGUGGAUGGAUUAUAAAUAAAUAAAGUAUUUAUCUAGGUUGUUACCUCUCA
RNAcentral lists this long non-coding RNA (2924 nucleotides) under Homo sapiens (human). RNAcentral describes it as "HSALNT0380184". Lineage: Eukaryota; Metazoa; Chordata; Mammalia; Primates; Hominidae. The record is from RNAcentral.